CGUGUAGGCGGUUGGUCAAGUCUGGCGUGAAAGCCCGGGGCUUAGCUCCGGAAGUGCGCUGGAAACUAGCUGACUUGAGCGCGAUAGAGGAGGGUGGAAUUCCUGGUGUAGCGGUGAAAUGCGUAGAUAUCAGGAGGAACACCGGCGGCGAAGGCGGCCCUCUGGAUCGUUGCUGACGCUGAGACGCGAAAGCGUGGGGGGCAAACAGGAUUAGAUACCCUGGUAGUCCACGCUGUAAACUAUGGGUAUUAGGUGUUCGGGGUGUUGACCCCCUGAGUGCCGGCGCUAACGCAUUAAGUACCCCGCCUGGGGACUACGGCCGCAAGGCUAAA
RNAcentral lists this ribosomal RNA (332 nucleotides) under uncultured bacterium. RNAcentral describes it as "bacterial SSU rRNA". It matches the Rfam family "Bacterial small subunit ribosomal RNA", at positions 568 to 898 of the family's 1533-position model. The record is from RNAcentral.